GGAAGUGUGGCCGAGUGGUCUAAGGCGCUGGAUUUAGGCUCUAGUCUCUCUGGAAGCGUGGGCUCAAAUCCCACCAUUGCCA
Molecule: transfer RNA, 82 nt
Filed under: Hippoglossus stenolepis (Pacific halibut)
Lineage: Eukaryota; Metazoa; Chordata; Actinopteri; Pleuronectiformes; Pleuronectidae
Description: tRNA-Leu
Rfam family: tRNA
About the family: Transfer RNA (tRNA) molecules are approximately 80 nucleotides in length. Their secondary structure includes four short double-helical elements and three loops (D, anti-codon, and T loops).
Source: RNAcentral